RNAcentral lists this ribosomal RNA (645 nucleotides) under uncultured rumen bacterium. RNAcentral describes it as "bacterial SSU rRNA". It matches the Rfam family "Bacterial small subunit ribosomal RNA", at positions 827 to 1493 of the family's 1533-position model. The record is from RNAcentral.
GGGGAUUGACCCUUCCGUGCGCAGUACCCCAAUAAGUAAUCCACCUGGGAGUACGCCGCAAGGCUGAACUCAAAGAAUUGUCGGGGCCCGCACAAGCAGUGGAGUUUGUGGAUAAUUCGAUGAUACGCGAGAACCUUACCCGGGCUGAACUGCAGCCGAACGAUAGAGAGAUCUGAGGUCCUUCGGGACGGCUGUGGAGGUGCUGCAUGGUGUCGUCAGCUCGUGCCGUGAGGUGUCGGCUUAAGUGCCAUAACGAGCGCAACCCCUUUCGCCAGUUGCCAUCAGGUGAUGCUGGGCACUCCGGCGACACUGCCACCGUAAGGUGUGAGGAAGGUGGGGAUGACGUCAAAUCAGCACGGCCCUUACGUCCGGGGCUACACACGUGUUACAAUGGGGAGUACAGAGAGUCAGGUGCCGGCAACGUCACCUUAAUCAAGAAAGCUCUCCUCAGUUCGGAUUGGGGUCUGCAACCCGACCCCAUGAAGCUGGAUUCGCUAGUAAUCGCGCAUCAGCCAUGGCGCGGUGAAUACGUUCCCGGGCCUUGUACACACCGCCCGUCAAGCCAUGAAAGCCGGGGGCGCCUGAAGUCCGUGACCGCGAGGGUCGGCCCAGGGUGAAACCGGUGAUUGGGGCUAAGUCGUAACA